This 922-nucleotide ribosomal RNA is filed under the name uncultured bacterium. RNAcentral's name for it is "bacterial SSU rRNA". It matches the Rfam family "Bacterial small subunit ribosomal RNA", at positions 23 to 927 of the family's 1533-position model. The record is from RNAcentral.
ACCAUGUAGCUGGGCGGCAGGCUACACAUGCAAGUCGAGCGGAACGAGUUAUCUGAACCUUCGGGGAACGAUAACGGCGUCGAGCGGCGGACGGGUGAGUAAUGCCUAGGAAAUUGCCCUGAUGUGGGGGAUAACCAUUGGAAACGAUGGCUAAUACCGCAUAAUGCCUACGGGCCAAAGAGGGGGACCUUCGGGCCUCUCGCGUCAGGGUAUGCCUAGGUGGGAUUAGCUAGUUGGUGAGGUAAUGGCUCACCAAGGCGACGAUCCCUAGCUGGUCUGAGAGGAUGAUCAGCCACACUGGAACUGAGACACGGUCCAGACUCCUACGGGAGGCAGCAGUGGGGAAUAUUGCACAAUGGGCGCAAGCCUGAUGCAGCCAUGCCGCGUGUGUGAAGAAGGCCUUCGGGUUGUAAAGCACUUUCAGUCGUGAGGAAGGUAGUGUAGUUAAUAGCUGCAUUAUUUGACGUUAGCGACAGAAGAAGCACCGGCUAACUCCGUGCCAGCAGCCGCGGUAAUACGGAGGGUGCGAGCGUUAAUCGGAAUUACUGGGCGUAAAGCGCAUGCAGGUGGUUUGUUAAGUCAGAUGUGAAAGCCCGGGGCUCAACCUCGGAAUUGCAUUUGAAACUGGCAGACUAGAGUACUGUAGAGGGGGGUAGAAUUUCAGGUGUAGCGGUGAAAUGCGUAGAGAUCUGAAGGAAUACCGGGUGGCGAAGGCGGCCCCCUGGACAGAUACUGACACUCAGAUGCGAAAGCGUGGGGAGCAAACAGGAUUAGAUACCCUGGGUAGUCCACGCCGUAAACGAUGUCUACUUGGAGGUUGUGGCCUUGAGCCGUGGCUUUCGGAGCUAACGCGUUAAGUAGACCGCCUGGGGGAGUACGGUCGCAAGAUUAAAACUCAAAUGAAUUGACGGAAGGGCGAAUU